UUUGCAGUUUGUAAGUGUUUUGGAGUUUGUUUGUGCUUUGGAGUUUGUACGUGUUUUGGAGUUUGCACGUGCUUCGGAGCUCGUACGUGCUUUGCAGUUUGUAAGUGUUUUGGAGUUUGUUUGUGCUUUGGAGUUUGUACGUGUUUUGGAGUUUGCACGUGCUUCGGAGCUCGUACGUGCUUUGAAAUUUGUACGUGUUUUGCAGUUUGUAAGUGUUUUGGAGUUUGCACGUGCUUCGGAGCUCGUACGUGCUUUGCAGUUUGUAAGUGUUUUGGAGUUUGUUUGUGCUUUGGAGUUUGUACGUGUUUUGGAGUUUGCACGUGCUUCGGAGCUCGUACGUGCUUUGAAAUUUGUACGUGCUUUGCAGUUUGUAAGUGUUUUGGAGUUUGUUUGUGCUUUGGAGUUUGUACGUGUUUUGGAGUUUGCACGUGCUUCGGAGCUCGUACGUGCUUUGCAGUUUGUAAGUGUUUUGGAGUUUGUUUGUGUUUUGGAGUUUGCACGUGCUUCGGAGCUCGUACGUGCUUUGAAAUUUGUACGUGUUUUGCAGUUUGUAAGUGUUUUGGAGUUUGUACGUGCUUUGUCUCUAGGGGCCACCGUAGUUUUCUCGGUGUCAUAAUAAAAAAUAAAGUUGAACAUCACAGAACUAAAUAAGCAUUUGUUUUUAUGAGAAAGCACAAAUAUACAACCCGUUUCCUUAUAAACCAAAAACCAGUGGAUAAACAGACUGAUGAAAAGUGGUAUCCUUUCUCAGGUCCCGACGCCGUGACAAGCCUGCGUCGAAGUCUCUGCAGAGCGCCCUCCAGGAAGGGUUGAAAGUCCAGGGACGCUAAAAUUCGGGUCCUGGCCGACGUCUUACAGGCCCACGGCGCUGGGGCUUGAAAAGAGACGCCCGACAGACCGGCAACAGCGAAGCCAGGUGAUUAUUCCACAUUUGAAGAACCUUGUCCUCAUAAUGACUGGCAUUGCGCUCCUAGAGAGCCUACUGAUACUCACCUGGAAAGACGAGGACCCACAGCACCACCUGCAGAAGAAAUGGUCAUAUAACAACUUACACCUAAAGGAUAUGGAUAUAGUGCAGAACCACCCCUGGCUGAACAAUGCCUGGUACCGGUACGUCUACAACCGAGUACAUACAGAAGACAACCACACUGGCUGCUACGUCUGUUCACACCUCCCAACAACAGCAAUGCAAGCCACCCUAUAUGGAAAAUCACCCAGCCCUAUGUAUAUUCUACAAAGCCACCAGCGGAACAUGUUCCCCCGAAGACAUCUUCUUCUUCAAGUUUGAGUUAAAAAGACAAGGGAAAAUCUUUCAACGUCAGGAGGGAACCAGGAAUACAACAUCCAAUGUGUUUCACCUUCGCAUACGGCAAAAGAAAGCUGGGGAUGAACAAGAACUGCUCCCAGACUUUCCGCAUGCCGCAGGACAGAAAGGCACAGACAAGCUUCCUGAAUGGCACAUAUUGGGUGCAGGGUACAGCUUGGGCAUGUGGCUCAAAGACAUACUUCACCAUCCCACCCAACAGCACCAGACUCUGCGCCCCAAUUUUAGUGUCAGACCACACAUUCAGAAUAUUCCAUCAGGACCAACCAAGACGCAAGAGGAGCACUGAUGACGUGCAACCUCAUGAUCCAAUCUGG
Astatotilapia calliptera (eastern happy) is the source of this 1641-nucleotide long non-coding RNA. NCBI's taxonomy places the organism in Eukaryota, Metazoa, Chordata, Actinopteri, Cichliformes, Cichlidae. The record is from Ensembl.